AACGAACGCUGGCGGCAUGCCUAACACAUGCAAGUCGAACGAACCCUUCGGGGUUAGUGGCGCACGGGUGCGUAACACGUGGGAAUCUGCCCUUUGCUUCGGAAUAACAGUUAGAAAUGACUGCUAAUACCGGAUGAUGUCGUAAGACCAAAGAUUUAUCGGCAAAGGAUGAGCCCGCGUAGGAUUAGGUAGUUGGUGGGGUAAAAGGCCUACCAAGCCGACGAUCCUUAGCUGGUCUGAGAGGAUGAUCAGCCACACUGGGACUGAGACACGGCCCAGACUCCUACGGGAGGCAGCAGUGGGGAAUAUUGGACAAUGGGCGAAAGCCUGAUCCAGCAAUGCCGCGUGAGUGAUGAAGGCCUCGGUU
RNAcentral lists this ribosomal RNA (367 nucleotides) under uncultured bacterium. RNAcentral describes it as "bacterial SSU rRNA". It matches the Rfam family "Bacterial small subunit ribosomal RNA", at positions 29 to 424 of the family's 1533-position model. The record is from RNAcentral.